Molecule: long non-coding RNA, 241 nt
Filed under: Linum usitatissimum (flax)
Lineage: Eukaryota; Viridiplantae; Streptophyta; Magnoliopsida; Malpighiales; Linaceae
Description: long non-coding RNA (LUSI_LNC004524)
Source: RNAcentral
AUCUUAUCCGCGAGGGCAUUCUCCUCAUCCAUUCUACUUUCUACCUCAGAUAGAGAAAUGGACGAUUCGGUCUCUGAGGGAGGAUCCCGUGAGGACAUGUCGCUCUCCGAAAAGUCAUCGUCACUCCUUACCAGACCAUUGACAAGCAAGAGACGGAAAAGAGAAAAGGCCUGAAGAGUCGGCUCCCUAUCCGCAAUCGGGCGACUUUCCUUCCACGGCCCAUCCUGCAAGACUCGCAAAC